AAAUAUUGAAGCUGGGAUCCAUGAAUCUGGCCAUUUACUUUCAUGUGUAGGUAACUAAGUGACCAAAAUAUUUGCAUAUUGGUUUAGGAGCUGCUUAUCAGAUGUGGCUUCCCAUUGUGGUUGACAGCGUGUGAGGGUGUCGUGUACUUCGCAGGACCAGGCCUUAAUAUUCCAAGUACUGCAUUUGUCCUACAAAACUGCAACGACCCAGACUGUGGGGCAGACUCAAAAGCUUACUAUGAUCUUCACGGGGAAGACAGAAGAUGAAUGCGCAUGCUCCACAGAAUCUCACUGGGUGACGCGUGGCCCUGACACCACUCAACGAGGCAGCAUUAGCACUACUGGCUGCUCAGUAUCCCUAAUGCCUUAAAAGCAGUUCUCUUCACAUAGACGGAA
Molecule: long non-coding RNA, 396 nt
Filed under: Gallus gallus (chicken)
Lineage: Eukaryota; Metazoa; Chordata; Aves; Galliformes; Phasianidae
Description: long non-coding RNA NONGGAT011837
Source: RNAcentral